Molecule: ribosomal RNA, 378 nt
Filed under: uncultured bacterium
Lineage: Bacteria
Description: bacterial SSU rRNA
Rfam family: Bacterial small subunit ribosomal RNA
Source: RNAcentral
GACGAACGCUGGCGGCGGGCUUAACACAUGCAAGUCGAACGAACGCCUUCGGGCGUUAGUGGCGCACGGGUGAGUAACACGUAGGCAAUCUACCCUCGGCUGGGGAAUAACCAGGGGAAACCCUGGCUAAUACCGCAUAACAUCUGGACGUCGCCUGGCGACCAGAUCAAAGCUUUAUGUGGCCGAGGAUGAGCCUGCGUCGGAUUAGCUAGUUGGUGGGGUAACGGCCUACCAAGGCGACGAUCCGUAGCGGGUCUGAGAGGAUGAUCCGCCACACUGGCACUGAGACACGGGCCAGACUCCUAAACGGGGGCAGCAGUGAGGAAUAUUGCGCAAUGGACGAAAGUCUGACGCAGCCACGCCGCGUGCAGGAAGACC